AACGAACGCUGGCGGCAGGCUUAACACAUGCAAGUCGAACGGAUCCUUCGGGAUUAGUGGCAGACGGGUGAGUAACGCGUGGGAACGUACCCUUUGCUACGGAAUAACUCAGGGAAACUUGAGCUAAUACCGCAUGUGCCCUACGGGGGAAAGAUUUAUCGGCAUAGGAUCGGCCCGCGUUGGAUUAGCUGGUUGGUGGGGUAAUGGCCUACCAAGGCGACGAUCCAUAGCUGGUCUGAGAGGAUGACCAGCCACACUGGGGCUGAGACACGGCCCAGACUCCGACGGGAGGCUGCGGUGGGGAGUAUUAGACGAUGGGCCCAGGCGUAGUCCAGCCGUGCCGCGUAAGUGAGGAAGGUCUUAGGAUUGUAAAGCUCUUUGGCCGGUGAAGAUAGUGACGGUACCCGGAGAAGAAGCCCCGGCUAACUUCGUG
This 433-nucleotide ribosomal RNA is filed under the name uncultured bacterium. RNAcentral describes it as "partial 16S ribosomal RNA". It matches the Rfam family "Bacterial small subunit ribosomal RNA", at positions 29 to 507 of the family's 1533-position model. The record is from RNAcentral.